Molecule: ribosomal RNA, 413 nt
Filed under: Globigerinoides elongatus
Lineage: Eukaryota; Foraminifera; Rotaliida; Globigerinidae
Description: partial small subunit ribosomal RNA
Rfam family: Eukaryotic small subunit ribosomal RNA
Source: RNAcentral
AACUCGGGGGACUGUUGAUUAUAAACUUUUUUCAAACCAGAGGAAGGUUGCGGCAAUAACAGGUCUGUGAUGCCCUCAGAUGUUCCGGGCUGCACACGUGCUACAUUUAGUAGCGCAGUGUGCACAUUAAUAGAGUGAUAGGUUCCGUGGUUUGUACAUUUUAAGGGCUCGUCCUAGUAACCAAAGCUCCACGGGACAUAUCAACCUUCCCCUUACAGGGCGGGUAACCUUUUCGAAGUGCUGGCAUGAUUUCCCUAGUUUUGGCAUUUGAAUCCUUGUCGCAGCAGCCCUGAGACGUAGUGAACGCUGCAAAGUGAUUCCAGUCUUAGGUUUGCGACACAUGCAAUUCCUGGUUGACUCAUCGUGGGGACUGAUUGUUGUAAUUAUUUUUCACGGUUCAACCAGGAAUGCCU